This 323-nucleotide unclassified non-coding RNA is filed under the name soil metagenome. Its description in RNAcentral is "partial contains 5.8S ribosomal RNA, internal transcribed spacer 2, and large subunit ribosomal RNA". The stretch from base 1 to 120 matches the Rfam family "5.8S ribosomal RNA", at positions 35 to 154 of the family's 154-position model. The record is from RNAcentral.
GAUGAAGAACGUAGCGAAAUGCGAUAAGUAGUGUGAAUUGCAGAAUUCAGUGAAUCAUCGAAUCUUUGAACGCACAUUGCGCCCCUUGGUAUUCCAUGGGGCAUGCCUGUUCGAGCGUCAUUUGUACCUUCAAGCUUUGCUUGGUGUUGGGUGUUUGUCCUGAGGGACUCGCCUUAAAGUAAUUGGCAGCCAGUGUUUGGUUUUGAAGCGCAGCACAAGUCGCGAUUCAAGGCUAUACACCAGCUUCCACAAUCCUUUUUCACUUUUGACCUCGGAUCAGGUAGGGAUACCCGCUGAACUUAAGCAUAUCAAUAAGCGGAGGA